RNAcentral lists this non-coding RNA (21 nucleotides) under Caenorhabditis elegans. Lineage: Eukaryota; Metazoa; Nematoda; Chromadorea; Rhabditida; Rhabditidae. The record is from RNAcentral.
UCUACUGUUGUUCAAGAACAU